UUGAUCAUGGCUCAGAUUGAACGCUGGCGGAAUGCUUUACACAUGCAAGUCGAACGGUAGAGGGGGCAACCCCUUGAGAGUGGCGAACGGGUGAGUAAUAUAUCGGAACGUGCCCAGUCGUGGGGGAUAACGUAGCGAAAGUUACGCUAAUACCGCAUACGAUCUAAGGAUGAAAGCGGGGGAUCGCAAGACCUCGCGCGACUGGAGCGGCCGAUAUCAGAUUAGGUAGUUGGUGGGGUAAAGGCUCACCAAGCCAACGAUCUGUAGCUGGUCUGAGAGGACGACCAGCCACACUGGAACUGAGACACGGUCCAGACUCCUACGGGAGGCAGCAGUGGGGAAUUUUGGACAAUGGACGCAAGUCUGAUCCAGCCAUUCCGCGUGCAGGAUGAAGGCCCUCGGGUUGUAAACUGCUUUUGUACGGAACGAAAAGGUCUCUCCUAAUACGAGAGGCUCAUGACGGUACCGUAAGAAUAAGCACCGGCUAACUACGUGCCAGCAGCCGCGGUAAUACGUAGGGUGCAAGCGUUAAUCGGAAUUACUGGGCGUAAAGCGUGCGCAGGCGGUUAUAUAAGACAGAUGUGAAAUCCCCGGGCUCAACCUGGGAACUGCAUUUGUGACUGUAUAGCUAGAGUACGGUAGAGGGGGAUGGAAUUCCGCGUGUAGCAGUGAAAUGCGUAGAUAUGCGGAGGAACACCGAUGGCGAAGGCAAUCCCCUGGACCUGUACUGACGCUCAUGCACGAAAGCGUGGGGAGCAAACAGGAUUAGAUACCCUGGUAGUCCACGCCCUAAACGAUGUCAACUGGUUGUUGGGUCUUAACUGACUCAGUAACGAAGCUAACGCGUGAAGUUGACCGCCUGGGGAGUACGGCCGNCAGGUUGAAACUCAAAGGAAUUGACGGGGACCGCACAAGCGGUGGAUGAUG
RNAcentral lists this ribosomal RNA (927 nucleotides) under uncultured bacterium. RNAcentral's name for it is "bacterial SSU rRNA". It matches the Rfam family "Bacterial small subunit ribosomal RNA", at positions 13 to 941 of the family's 1533-position model. The record is from RNAcentral.